This 687-nucleotide ribosomal RNA is filed under the name uncultured Clostridium sp. RNAcentral describes it as "bacterial SSU rRNA". It matches the Rfam family "Bacterial small subunit ribosomal RNA", at positions 875 to 1502 of the family's 1533-position model. The record is from RNAcentral. Lineage: Bacteria; Bacillati; Bacillota; Clostridia; Eubacteriales; Clostridiaceae.
UAGUUGGGUUGGGGGGGAAUCGCCUUCCUUUUUGCCCGUCAGUACACACAAAUAAGUCUCCCCGGGGGGGGAGUACGCCAGCAAGGUAUAAAUCAAAAGGAAUUGGGGGGGGCCCACACAAGCAGCUGAGCAUUUUAUUUAAAUGGAAGCAGCGCGACGAUCCCUGGCAGUUCCAUCCAUCGAUGUAAUUAGGUAGACAUACGGAGUGUUUUGGGGCAACUGAAGACAGGUGGUGCAUGGUUGUCGUCAGCUCGUGUCGUGAGAUGUUGGGUUAAGUCCCGCAACGAGCGCAACCCCUAUUGUUAGUUGCUACGCAAGAGCACUCUAGCGAGACUGCCGUUGACAAAACGGAGGAAGGUGGGGACGACGUCAAAUCAUCAUGCCCCUUAUGAUUUGGGCUACACACGUAAUACAAUGGUGGUUACAAGGAGAAGCGAAAUCCGGAGGGGGAGCAAAUCUCAUAAAGGUCAUCCCAGUUCGGAUUGCAGUCUGCAACUCGAGUACAUGAAGUCGGAAUCGCUAGUAAUCGCGAAUCAGCAUGUCGCGGUGAAUACGUUCCCGGGUCUUGUACACACCGCCCGUCACACCAUGGGAGUAGGGAACACCCGAAGUCAGUGGCCCAACCGCAAGGAGGGAGCGGCCGAAGGUGGGAUUUAUAAUUGGGGUGAAGUCGUAACAAGGUAGCCG